UACGGGGGGGGUAAGCGUUGUUCGGAAUUACUGGGCGUAAAGGGCGCGUAGGCGGUCUGUUAAGUUCGGUGUGAAAGCCCCCGGCUCACCUGGGGAACUGCGCCGGAAACCGACAGACUCGAGUACCGGAGAGGAGGGUGGAAUUCCUGGUGUAGCGGUGAAAUGCGUAGAUAUCAGGAGGAACACCGGUGGCGAAGGCGGCCCUCUGGACGGAUACUGACGCUGAGGCGCGAAAGCCAGGGGAGCAAACGGG
RNAcentral lists this ribosomal RNA (253 nucleotides) under uncultured bacterium. Its description in RNAcentral is "partial 16S ribosomal RNA". It matches the Rfam family "Bacterial small subunit ribosomal RNA", at positions 524 to 776 of the family's 1533-position model. The record is from RNAcentral.